This 427-nucleotide ribosomal RNA is filed under the name uncultured bacterium. RNAcentral describes it as "bacterial SSU rRNA". It matches the Rfam family "Bacterial small subunit ribosomal RNA", at positions 354 to 796 of the family's 1533-position model. The record is from RNAcentral.
GUGGGGAAUCUUGCGCAAUGGGCGAAAGCCUGACGCAGCGACGCCGCGUGUGGGAUGAAGGUCUUCGGAUUGUAAACCACUGUCGGGAGGGACGAAGCUCUGACGGUACCUCCAAAGGAAGCACCGGCUAACUCUGUGCCAGCAGCCGCGGUAAUACAGAGGGUGCAAGCGUUGUCCGGAAUCACUGGGCGUAAAGGGCGCGUAGGCGGCCUGGUAAGUCGGGGGUGAAAUUCUGCGGCUCAACCGCAGGACGGCCUUCGAGACUGCUGGGCUCGAGCACGGUAGAGGCUGGUGGAAUUCCCGGUGUAGCGGUGGAAUGCGUAGAGAUCGGGAAGAACAUCGGUGGCGAAGGCGGCCAGCUGGGCCGUUGCUGACGCUGAGGCGCGACAGCGUGGGGAGCAAACAGGAUUAGAAACCCUUGUAGUCC